CAGCCGCCACGGUAAUACGAAGGGGGCUAGCGUUGCUCGGAAUGACUGGGCGUAAAGGGCGCGUAGGCGGCUGACACAGUCAGAUGUGAAAUUCCUGGGCUCAACCUGGGGACUGCAUUUGAGACGUGUUGGCUUGAGUGGAGAAGAGGGUCGUGGAAUUUCCAGUGUAGAGGUGAAAUUCGUAGAUAUUGGAAAAAACACCGGUGGCGAAGGCGGCGACCUGGUCUUUAACUGACGCUGAGGCGCGAAAGCGUGGGGAGCAAACAGGAUUAGAUACCCCCGUAGUCCCUGUCUCUUAUAC
RNAcentral lists this ribosomal RNA (301 nucleotides) under uncultured bacterium. RNAcentral's name for it is "partial 16S ribosomal RNA". It matches the Rfam family "Bacterial small subunit ribosomal RNA", at positions 509 to 807 of the family's 1533-position model. The record is from RNAcentral.